This 71-nucleotide transfer RNA is filed under the name Marmota marmota marmota (Alpine marmot). It matches the Rfam family "tRNA". From Rfam's summary of the family: Transfer RNA (tRNA) molecules are approximately 80 nucleotides in length. Their secondary structure includes four short double-helical elements and three loops (D, anti-codon, and T loops). Lineage: Eukaryota; Metazoa; Chordata; Mammalia; Rodentia; Sciuridae. RNAcentral also lists the same sequence under 1 other name. The record is from Rfam by way of RNAcentral.
GAGGUUGUGGCUCAGUGGUAAAGUGCUCACCUAGCAUGUGAGAGGCCCUGGGUUCGAUCCUCAGUACCACA